RNAcentral lists this ribosomal RNA (696 nucleotides) under uncultured Lactobacillus sp. Its description in RNAcentral is "bacterial SSU rRNA". It matches the Rfam family "Bacterial small subunit ribosomal RNA", at positions 65 to 728 of the family's 1533-position model. Lineage: Bacteria; Bacillati; Bacillota; Bacilli; Lactobacillales; Lactobacillaceae. The record is from RNAcentral.
AACGAAACUUCUUUAUCACCGAGUGCUUGCACUCACCGAUAAAGAGUUGAGUGGCGAACGGGUGAGUAACACGUGGGCAACCUGCCCAAAAGAGGGGGAUAACACUUGGAAACAGGUGCUAAUACCGCAUAACCAUAGUUACCGCAUGGUAACUAUGUAAAAGGUGGCUAUGCUACCGCUUUUGGAUGGGCCCGCGGCGCAUUAGCUAGUUGGUGGGGUAAAGGCUUACCAAGGCAAUGAUGCGUAGCCGAACUGAGAGGUUGAUCGGCCACAUUGGGACUGAGACACGGCCCAAACUCCUACGGGAGGCAGCAGUAGGGAAUCUUCCACAAUGGGCGAAAGCCUGAUGGAGCAACGCCGCGUGGGUGAAGAAGGUCUUCGGAUCGUAAAACCCUGUUGUUAGAGAAGAAAGUGCGUGAGAGUAACUGUUCACGUUUCGACGGUAUCUAACCAGAAAGCCACGGCUAACUACGUGCCAGCAGCCGCGGUAAUACGUAGGUGGCAAGCGUUAUCCGGAUUUAUUGGGCGUAAAGGGAACGCAGGCGGUCUUUUAAGUCUGAUGUGAAAGCCUUCGGCUUAACCGGAGUAGUGCAUUGGAAACUGGGAGACUUGAGUGCAGAAGAGGAGAGUGGAACUCCAUGUGUAGCGGUGAAAUGCGUAGAUAUAUGGAAGAACACCAGUGGCGAAAGCGGCUCU